RNAcentral lists this small RNA (3249 nucleotides) under Pongo abelii (Sumatran orangutan). RNAcentral describes it as "processed transcript". The record is from RNAcentral. Lineage: Eukaryota; Metazoa; Chordata; Mammalia; Primates; Hominidae.
CAGCUGCCUGGUAUGUGACUGGAGGUAUUUUGCAGUCAUUGCUGGAAUUUCACUGAUGUGGCCCCUAUGCUGCUUCCCUCUCCACCCCACGAUGUUGGAAGAAACUCGACAGAGUAAAUUGGCUGUGGCCAAGAAAAAGAAAGGAGAGAGGGCCUCGUGGCAGCAGAGGGUGUGGAAAAUGUCAGAGGAGGGCCCUUUCCCCCGUGCUUUGGGCAGGUUUGCACAUUGAAGGAGGAGAAGAAGCAUGACAUGCAUCGGGUACAGGAGAUGGAGAGGAUCUUGGCUGAACUCAAAAACUAGAUGGCUGAACCCCUGCCCCCAGAGCCCCCAGCAGGGCCCUCUGAGGUGGAACAGCAGCUACAAGCUGAGGCCGAGCACCUGAGGAAGGAGCUGGAGAGUCUGGCAGGACAGCUCCAAGCUCAGGUGCAAAACAAUCAAGGCUUGAGUCACUUGAACUGGGAGCAGGAGGAGAGGCUGCUGGAACAGGAGACUCUGCGGGAGCAGGAGAGGCUGCAGGAGCUGGAGGAGAAGCUGCAGGAGCAGGAGAGGCUGGGAGAGCGGGAGGAGAGUCUGCGGGAGCGGGAGGUGAGGCUGCGGGAGCGGGAGGAGAGGCUGCGGGAGCGGGAGGAGAGGCUGCGGGAGCGGGAGGAGAGGCUGCGGGAGCGGGAGGAGAGGCUGCGGGAGUGGGAGGAGAUGCUGCGGAGCGGGAGGACAAGCUGCUGGAGCUGGGGCGGAAAGCCAAGCUCUGGGAGGAGCAGGCAGAGAUGCGCAUGCAGACCCCGCGGAACCGCACCACCAUCAACCGCGCGCUCUCUCAGAACCGGGAGCUGGACUAGCAGCUGGCUGGGCCACAGAGCUGCUUAGAGGAGCUGAACAAUGAGAAUAAGAGUGCACUGCAGUUGGAGCAGCAAGUAAAGGAGCUGCAGGAGAAGCUGGGCAAGCUGAAGGAGACCGUAACCUCUGCCCAUCUAAGAAGGGCUGGGAGGAGCGCCUGGAAGGUACCAGCCAGCAGAACCAGCAGCUACAGGCCCAGUUGAGCCUCAUGGCACUCCCUAGGCAAGGCUUUGAAGACAAGAUUCCCAAAAGGAGAUUCUCUGAGAUGCAAAAUGAAAGACGAGAACAGGCACAGCGGACUGUUUUAAUACAUUGCCCAGAGAAAAUCAGUGAAAACAAGUUCCUUAAAUAUUUAUCCCAAUUUGGACCUAUUAAUAAUCAUUUCUUCUAUGAAAGCCUUGGUCUCUAUGCUGUCGUAGAAUUUUGCCAAAAGGAAAGCAUAGGUUCACUGCAGAAUGGGACUCAUACUCCAAGGACGGCCAUGGAGGCUGCAAUUCCAUUCAGAUCACGUUUCUUCAAUCUGAAGUUGAAAAACCCGACUUCUGAACGGUCACGCAUACGGUCAAGUAAUCAGUUGCCACGUUCAAACAAGCAGCUUUUUGAAUUACUUUGUUAUACAGAAAGUAUAGACGAUCAGCUGAACACUCUCUUGAAGGAGUUCCAGCUAACAGAGGAGAACACUAAGCUCCGAUAUCUCACCUGUUCUCUUAUUGAAGACAUAGCCGCUGCAUAUUUUCCGGACUGCAUAAUCAGACCCUUUGGCUCCUCGGUCAACACUUUUGGGAAGUUAGGAUGUGAUUUGGACAUGUUUUUGGAUCUAGAUGAAACCAGAAACCUCGGCGCUCACAAGACCUCAGGAAAUUUUCUGAUGGAAUUUCAAGUGAAAACUGUUCCUUCAGAAAGAAUUGCAACUCAGAAGAUCCUGUCUGUGUUAGGAGAGUGCCUUGACCACUUAGGCCCUGGUUGUGUGGGUGUGCAAAAAAUAUUAAAUGCCCGGUGUCCACUCGUGAGGUUCUCACACCAGGCCUCUGGAUUUCAGUGUGAUUUGACUACGAACAAUAGGAUUGCCUUGACAAGUUCCGAACUCCUUUAUAUAUAUGGUGCCCUAGACUCAAGAGUGAGAGCCUUGGUGUUCAGUAUACGGUGCUGGGCUCGAGCACAUUCACUAACAAGUAGUAUUCCUGGUGCAUGGAUUACAAAUUUCUCCCUUACAAUGAUGGUCAUCUUUUUUCUCCAGAGAAGAUCACCCCCUAUUCUUCCAACACUAGAUUCCUUAAAAACCCUAGCAGAUGCAGAAGAUAAAUGUAUAAUAGAAGGCAACAACUGCACAUUUGUUCGUGACUUGAAUAGAAUUAAACCUUCACGGAACACAGAAACAUUAGAAUUACUACUGAAGGAAUUUUUUGAGUAUUUCGGCAAUUUUGCUUUUGAUAAAAAUUCCAUAAAUAUUCGACAGGGAAGUGAGCAAAACAAACCUGAUUCUUCUCCUCUGUACAUUCAGAAUCCAUUUGAAACUUCUCUCAACAUAAGCAAAAAUGUAAGUCAAAGCCAGCUGCAAAAAUUUGUAGAUUUGGCCCGACAAAGUGCCUGGAUUUUACAACAGGAAGAUAGAGAUCGACCUUCCAUAUCAAGUAAUCGGCCCUGGGGGCUGGCAUCCCUAUUGCUACCAUCUGUAAACAGAAAGUCCUUUACCAAGAAGAAAAGCAAUAAGUUUGCAAUUGAAACAGUCAAAAACUUGUUAGAAUCUUUAAAAGGUAACGGAACAGAAAAUUUCACAAAAACCAGUGGGAAGAGAACAAUUAGUACUCAGGCAUGAUGGCUGCUACAUUGUGUAAAGAACUGGGCUUACCCUUUCAAAUGGUCUGUGGACUUACUUGGAAAAACUGGUUUGAAACUUUCACAGAUCUCAGCUUUCAUCUGAUGUCACUUUUCAUGAUUUUCUCAUUGGCCCCCUUAACCUGGUCUGAAGUUCUGGGAUGUUUUCAGUCUGAUCAGUCUGAUAGUCAGUGGGACUUUAUUAAAACAUCAGCUGUGGAGUGUGGCAGUGCACACCUGUAGUCCCAACUGCUCAGGAGGCUGAGGCAGGAGGAUCUCUUGAGCCCAGGAUUUUGAAUCCAUCGUGGACAACAUAGCAGGAUUCCCUCUCUGAAAAAAAUGAAAAUAAACAUAAGCCACAAGGAAUGGGUGAAAGAUUAUUGUAAUGUGCUUUAACUAAAUAGGUAAAUAUACUAUACAAAUGCUAAAACUCAGUUUUAGGAUGAAACCAUUUUUGAUAUCCACAUCAGUCCCUGUUUAGAAAACAUUUAAAAUGACUUUUAGUUAUGUACAAUACGUUGGCAAUGAAUACAUUAAGCUUCAGAAUUUGGUAGUGCUCUUGAAUAUGUAUAUUUGUAUUUUUCAAGCGAAGUUCUCUUA